AAAAUCAUUGAAGCAGGCAUGUCAUUGCUUGGCCUGUUUUUGUUUCUUCAAGAUUUUUUUGUCUGAUAUUUUUCAUAGUUUAGAUAGAGACUCAUAACUUUACUUCGGCUCAUAUCUACAGCUUCCAAACUGGUGCCUCUGGGUUUCGCUAGUCCGAGCCAACUCCAUACUCGGAGGCAAGAGAUAAUUCAGAUAACAUCUGGAUAAAGAGAACUUGACAAAAUUUUAGAAGGCAAGUAUCAAAGAUUUCUUUCAACUCUUAACAACGAUCCUUUUACAUUAGACCGUGUUUCUGUGGCAAUGCUUCUUAAGAACAUUAACACUUGCCGUGUCCUGUAGUGUUGUAACCUCAAACAGCUAGCUUUUGACAGGAGGGUUUGAGACAGGAUCUAUUACUGAGAUACAUGGUGAGUUCCGCUCUGGAAAAACUCAGCUGUGCCACACCCUUUGCGUCACUUGCUAACUUCGAUUGGAUCAAGGAGGUGGGGAGGGAAAAGCAAUUCCCAUAGAUGCAGAGGACGCGUUCAGACCCCAUAGACUCUUACAGAUAGCUGACAGGUGUCUUACAGCUACCUAGAGAAGAAGAACUGCUCUAGCCAGCUUGUUGUCAAAUGGUUAAAGGUUUUAAACCUUGCAGCUUUGGGCUGAAUGACGUUGAUGUCUUGGAGAAUGUGGCUUUUGCUCGGGCAUACAACACUGAUCAUCAAUCUAGGCUUUUGCUUGAAGCAGCUUCAAUGAUGAUGGAAACAAGGUUUGCUCUUAUGAUUGUUGGCAGUUCUGCUCUAUACAGAACAGAUUUUUCUGGAAGGGGAGAACUUUCAGCUCGGCAGGUGCAUCAAUCAAAGUUCCAUGGGAGCCUUCAGAAGUUAGCAGAUGAGCCAGAAUGACACCUUUAUCUUUUUUAACUAGCUCUCUUCAUUUAUGACUGUCUGCUUACAUCAUUGAAUUACUGGGUCCACGAUUCUUUUAGGCGAUAUGACUUUCUGGAUUUACCCUCUCUUGUUAUUCCAGUAUAUGCGAAUGCUGUAGACAUGCUCCAAAUAGACUAUUCAAUUAGAAAUGUAAAUUUUCCUGCGCAUUUUGUUGGUGUAGUUCGGUGUGGCAGUUGUCAUCACAAACCAAGUAGUUGCAGGUUCUGCUAUUUUCGCUGGACUUCAAAUCAAGCCUAUUGGCGUUAACAUCUUUGCUCAUGCUUCUACAUGAAGGCCGGUAAUUCCCUCCAAUUCUCCUCUCAAGUGUGAAGGUUUCGUACUUGAAAAUUCUUAGUAUAAUUGUCACUGGCUUGCUCUUUGGAAGGAAGAGAGGAGGAGCCCAUCUGUAAAGCAAUAAGUUCUCCUUGUUUAGCCGAAGCUGAAGCGUGGUUCCAGAUCUCUGCUAAAGGCGUAAUUGAUGUUAAGGAUUGAUCUAUUUUAGCUAUCUUCUCCCGGAAAAUUUUUGAGGGGCGUUUCUUGCAUUACGUCUUAGUAGAUCUGCAAGCAAGGGAUGCGACAUCACAUCCAUGUAAUUUUCUGGUUUCCAAUAGGAACGUUCAAAUUUUUAAGAGCUAUAACGAAGACUUGCAGGUCUUUUGAUGUUUGGUGACCGUUCUCUGUCACUUCUCCAAUGUUUUCCGUAAUUUUGGUGUA
Long non-coding RNA from Populus euphratica (Euphrates poplar), 1625 nucleotides. RefSeq lists it as uncharacterized. The transcript has 3 exons. The record is from RefSeq and is a predicted model, not a curated record. Lineage: Eukaryota; Viridiplantae; Streptophyta; Magnoliopsida; Malpighiales; Salicaceae.